RNAcentral lists this long non-coding RNA (12076 nucleotides) under Homo sapiens (human). RNAcentral describes it as "HSALNT0008528". The record is from RNAcentral. Lineage: Eukaryota; Metazoa; Chordata; Mammalia; Primates; Hominidae.
GAGGCCAAAGAUAAUUUCUAUGUUACUUGGAAACUAGAACAACAGCAGAGAUAAUAAUAUAAUCCUAGAAUAUUGGGAAGGUCCCUGGCAAUCUUGGUGAGGAAAGCACAUGCAGUAUUGGAGACAUGAGCUAGUGUGCAAGGGACUGGGGUGUUCACAGGUGGACAUCCACAAGCUGCAUGCAUUGGUGGCUCCAGAAUUUCUGUGUCAGUGGCUAAAGGGCCGUCAUUGAGUUGGCAUGAGGCUUGAAAUGCAUAUGCAUAGUACUUUCCAUUAGUUACAGAAAAUGCCAAUAUUCUUUACUUGAAAAUGGGACAAGGAAAGCAACAGAGUUUGAGGGCCUAAAUCCCACUUAUGCCAGCCCUGAGUACUUCCUAUAUGCUUGUGGUCAAGCCCAGCCUCAUCUCUCCCAGCUUCUCUUCACACACUGGAAGCCUCACCCAAUCCAAACCCUGCCACCCUACCCUUUCUCACUUCUGUGAGCAGCUAGGUGGCCGAGUGGUGAGCGUGUCCUAAAUAUUCAUCCAGAGCCGAGUUUGAAUUCUGGCUCUGCAAUUUAUUGUCACUAGUAUAACCUCGGGCAUGUCUAUAAUAAUACCUACCUAUGAGGAUUGUCAUGAGGUUUCAAUGAAAUCAUGUAUAUGAUGUGUUUAACAUAGUGCCUGGCCCAUAAUACGCACUUAAAGUAAAAAAAAAAAAACUUUUGAUGUGUGAAAUUCCAGUAUUUUCAGCUUCAAACAACAUCUCCUAGAUAGCUGCUCACACCCAUAAGUGGGAGACAGAUUCUCUGCAGACCAUGUAUUCUGAUUUAGGGUGUUGAAAAGAGAGUCAAUACAUAGCAAUUGGAGUCCACAGGAAAGAGGACUCAUCGGGGCCUGGGAUGGUCAGCAAAGCCGUCUGGAGGAAACUGCACUUGGAUGCAGUUUGAAGGUGGAGUUGAUUCAUCCAGGAAGAAGUGAGUGGGCGAGGCAUGGACAAAUGCUUAAAAGCAGGAAGCACACGGUAUUUCAUGGUGGUGAUUUUUAUUUUGCUAAUAUAGGCUCUACCCAGGGUAUCAAUGAGAGCUAUGUUAAAAAGGUAGCUUAGGGAAAGAUUAUAAGGGUCUUGAAAUUUCUCCCUCCCUUCUUUUGUUUCUUUUCUUUUCUUUUUUUAAUUACACUUUUAAGUUCUAGGGUAUAUGUGCACAACGUGCAGGUUUGUUACAUAUGUAUACAUGUGCCAUGUUGGUUUGCUGCACCCAUUAACUCAUCAUUUACGUUAGGUAUUUCUCCUAAUGCUAUCCCUCCCCCAUCCCCCCACCCCAUGACAGGCCCCGGCGGGUGAUGUUCCCCACCCUGUGUACAAGUGUUCUCAUUGUUCAGUUCCCACCUAUGAGUGAGAACAUGCAGUGUUUGGUUUUCUGUCCUUGUGAUAGUUUGCUGAGAAUGAUUUCCACCUUCAUCCAUAUACCUACAAAGGACAUUAACUCAUCCUUAUUUAUGACUGCAUAGUAUUCCAUGGUGUAUAUGUGCCACACUUUCUUAAUCCAGUCUAUCAUUGUUGGACAUUUGGGUUGGUUCCAAGUCUUUGCUAUUGUGAAUAGUGCUGCAAUAAACAUGCGUGUGCAUGUGUCUUUAUAGUAGCAUGAUUUAUAAUCCUUUGGGUGUAUACCCAGUAAUGGGAUCACUGGGUCAAAUGGUAUUUCUAGUUCUAGAUCCUUAAGGAAUUGCUACACUGUCUUCCACAAUGGUUGAACUAGUUUACACUUCAACAAACAGUGUAAAAGUGUUCCUAUUUCUCCACAUCCUCUGCAGCAUCUGUUGUUUCCUGACUUUUUAAUGAUGGCCAUUCUAACUGGUGUGAGAUGGUAUCUCAUUGUGGUUUUGAUUUGCAUUUCUCUGAUGACCAGUGAUGAUGAGCAUUUUUUCAUGUGUCUUUUGGCUGCAUAAAUGUCUUUUUUUGAAAAGUGUCUGUUCAUAUCCUUUGCCCACUUUUUGAUGGGGUUGUUUGAUUUUUUUCUUUUAAAUUUGUUUAAGUUCUUUGUAGAUUCUAGAUAUUAGCCCUUUGUCAGAUGGGUAGAUUGCAAAAAUUUUCUCCCAUUCUGUAGGUUGCCUGUUCACUCUGAUGGUAGUUUCUUUUGCUGUACAGAAACUCUUUAGUUUAAUUAGAUCCCAUUUAUCUAUUUUAGCUUUUGUUGCCAUUGCUUUUAGUGUUUAGUCAUGGAGUCCUUGCCCAUGCCUAUGUCCUGAAUGGUAAUGCCUAGGUUUUCUUCUAGGGUUUUUAUGGUUUUAGGUCUAACAUUUAAGUCUUUAAUCCAUCUUGAAUUAAGUUUCGUAUAAGGUGUAAGAAAGGGAUCCAGUUUCAGCUUUCUACAUAUGCCUAGCCAGUUUUCCCAGCACCAUUGAUUAAAUAGGGAAUCCUUUCCCCAUGUCUUGUUUUUGUCAGGUUUGUCAAAGAUUAGUUGGUUAUAGAUGGGUGGUGUUAUUUCUGAGACCUCUGUUCUGUUCCGUUGGUGUAUAUCUCUGUUUUGGUACCUGUACCAUGCUGUUUUGGUUACUGUAGACUUGUAUAGUUUGAAGUCAGGUAGCAUGAAGCCUCCAGCUUUGUUCUUUUUGCUUAGGAUUGUCUUGGCAAUGCAGGCUCUUUUUUGGUUCCAUAUGAACUUUAAAGUAGUUUUUUCCAAUUUUGUGAAGAAAGUCAUUGGUAGCUUGAUGGGGAUGGCAUUGAAUCUAUAAAUUACCUUGGGCAUUAUGGCCAUUUUCAUGAUAUUGAUUCUUCCUAUUCAUGAGCAUGGAAUGUUCUUCCAUUUGUUUGUGUCCUCUUAUUUCGUUGAGCAGUGGUUUGUAGCUCUCCUUGAAGAGAUCCUUAAUAUCCCUUGUAAGUUGGAUUCCUAAGUAUUGUAUUCUCUUUGUAGCAAGUGUGAAUGGGAGUUCACUCAUGAUUUGGCUGUUUGUCUGUUAUUGGUGUGUAGGAAUGCUUGUGAUUUUUGCACAUUGAUUUUGUAUCCUGAGACUUUGCUGAAGUUGCUUAUCAGCUUAAGGAGAUUUUGGGCUGAGACAAUGGGGUUUUCUAAAUAUACAAUCAUGUCAUCUGCAAACAGGGACAAUUUGACUUCCUCUUUUCCUAAUUGAAUACCUUUUAUUUCUUUCUCUUGCCUGAUUGCCCUGGCCAGAACUUCCAACACUAUGUUGAAGUUCCCUGUCUUGUGCCAGUUUUCAAAAGGAAUGCUUCCAGUUUUUGCCCAUUCAGUAUGAUAUUGGCUGUGGGUUUGUCAUAAAUACCUAUUAUUUUGAGAUACGUUCCAUCAAUACCUAGUUUAUUGAGAGUUUUUAACAUGAAGCGCUGUUGAAUUUUGUCAAAGGCCUUUUCUGCAUCUAUUGAGAUAAUCAUGUGGUUUUUGUCUUUGGUCCUAUUUAUGUGAUGGAUUAUGUUUAUUGAUUUACGUAUGUUGAACCAGCCUUGCAUCCCAGGGAUGAAGCCAACUUCAUCUUGGUGGAUAAGAUUUUUGAUGUGCUGCUGGAUUCGGUUUGCCAGUAUUUUAUUGAGGAUUUUCGCAUCGAUGUUCAUCAAGGAUAUUGGUCUAAAAUUCUCUUCUUUUUGUUGUGUCUCUGCCAGGCUUUGGUAUCAGGAUGAUGCUGGCCUCAUAAAAUGAGUUAGGGAGGAUUCCCUCUUUUUCUAUUGAUUGGAAAAAUUUCAGAAGGAAUGGUACCAGCUUCUCUUUCUACCUCUGUUAGAACUCAGCUGUGAAUCUGUCUGGUCCUGGAGUUUUUUUGGUUGGUAGCCUAUUAGUUAUUGCCUCAAUUUCAGAGUCUGUUAUUUGUCUAUUCAGGGAUUCAACUUCUUCCUGGUUUAGUCUAGGGAGGAUGUAUGUGUCCAGGAAUUUAUGCAAUUCUUCUAGAUUUUCUAGUUUAUUUGCAUAGAGGUGGUUAUAGUAUUCUCUGAUGGUAGUUUGUAUUUCUGUGGGAUCAGUGGUGAUAUUCCCUUCAUCAUUUGUUUAUUGCAUCUAUUUGAUUCUUCUCUUUUCUUCUUUAUUACUCUUGCUAGCAGUCUAUCAAUUUUGUUGAUCUUUUCAAAAAACCAACUCCUGGAUUCAUUGAUUUUUUUUUUUUUUUUGAAGGGUUUUUUGUGUCUCUAUUUCCUUCAGUUCUGCUCUGAUCUUAGUUAUUUCUUGCCUUCUGCUUGCUUUUGAAUUUGUUUUCUCUUGCUUCUCUAGUUCUUUUAAUUGUGAUGUUAAGGUGUCAAUUUUUGAUCUUUCCUGCUUUCUCUUGUGGGCAUUUAGUGCUAUAAAUUUCCCUCUACACACUGCUUUAAAUGUGUCCCAGAGAUUCUGGUACGUUGUGUGUUUAUUCUCAUUAGUUUCAAAGAACAUCUUUACUUCUGCCUUCAUCUCGUUAUUUACCCAGUAGUCAUUCAGGAGCAGGUUGUUCCAUUUCCAUGUAGUUGUGCAGUUUUGAGUGAGUUUCUUAAUCCUGAGUUCUAAUUUGAUUGCACUAUAAUCUGAGAGACAGUUUGUUAUAAUUUCUAUUAUUUUACAUUUGCUGAGGAGUGCUUUACUUCCAAAUAUGUGGUCAAUUUUGGAAUAAGUGCGAUGUAGUGCUGAGAAGAAUGUAUAUUCUGUUGAUUUGUGGUGGAGAGUUCUGUAGAUGUCUAUUAGGUCUGCUUGGUGCAGAGCUGAGUUCAAGUCCUGGAUAUCCUUGUUAACGUUCUGUCUCAUUGAUCUGUCUAAUAUUGACAGUGGGGUGUUAAGUCUCCCAUUAUUAUUGUGUGGGAGUCUAAGUCUCUUUGUAGGUCUCUGAGGACUUGCUUUAUGAAUCUGGGUGCUCCUGUAUUGGGUGCAUAUAUAUUUAGGGUAGUUAGCUCUUCUUGUUGAAUUGAUCCCUUUACCAUUAUGUAAUGGCCUUGUCUCUUUUGAUCUUUGUUUGUUUGAAGUUUGUUUUAUCAGAGACUAGGAUUACAACCCCUGCUUUUUCUUUUUCUUCUUCUUUUUUUUUUUUUUUUUUUGGCUUUCCGUUCGCUUGGUAGAUCUUCCUUCAUCCCUUUGAGUCUAUGUGUGUCUCUGUACGUGAGAUGGGUCUCCUGAAUACAGCACACUGAUGGGUUUUGACUCUAUCCAAGUUGCCAGUCUGUGUCUUUUAACUGGGGCAUUUAGCCCAUUUACAUUUAAGGUUAAUAUUGUUAUGUGUGAAUUUGAUCCUGUCAUUAUGAUGUUAGCUGGUUAUUUUGCCCGUUAGUUGAUGCAGUUUCUUCCUAGCAUCAAUGGUCUUUACAAUUUGCAUGUUUUUGCAGUGGCUGGUACCAGUUGUUCCUUUCCAUGUUUAGUGCUUCCUUCAGGAGCUCUUGUAAGGCAGUCCUGGUGGUGACAAAAUCUCUCAGCAUUUGCUUGUCUGUAAAGGAUUUUAUUUCUCCUUCACUUAUGAAGCUUAGUUUGGCUGGAUAUGAAAUUCUGGUUUGAAAAAUCUUUUCUUUAAGAAUGUUGAAUAUUGGCCCCCACUCUCUUUUGGCUUAUAGAGUUUCUGCUGAGAGAUCUGCUGUUAGUCUGACUGGGCUUCCCUUUGUGGGUAACCCAACCUUUCUCUCUGGCUGCCCUUAACAUUUUUUCCUUCAUUUUAACCUUGGUGAAUCUGACAAUUAUGUGUCCUGGAGUUUCUCUUCUCGAGGAGUAUCUUUGUGGUGUUCUCUGCAUUUCCUAAACUUGAAUGUUGGCCUGCCUUGUUAGGUUGGGGAAGUUCUCCUGGAUAAUAUCCUGAAGAGUGUUUUCCAACUUGUUUCCAUUCUCCCCGUCACUUUCAGGUACACCAAUCAAACGUAGAUUUGGUCUUUUCACAUAGUCCCAUAUGCCUGGGAGGCUUUGUUCGUUUCUUUUUACUGUUUUUUUCUCUUAACUUCUCCUCUUGCUUCAUUUCAUUAAUUUGAUCUUCAAUCACUGAUACCCUUUCUUCCACUUGAUCAAAUCGGCUACUGAAGCUUGUGCAUGCAUCAUGUAGUUCUGGUGCCAUGGUCUUCUGCUCCAUCAGGUCAUUUAAGGUCUUCACUACUCUGUUAAUUCUAGUUAGCCAUUCAUCUGAUCUUUUUUCAAGGUUUUUAGCUUCCUUGCGAUGGGUUUGACAUCCUCCUUUAGCUCGGAGAAGUUUGUUAUUACCGACCUUCUGAAGCCUACUUCUGUCAACUCGUCAAAGUCAUUCUCCAUCCUGCUUUGUUCCAUUGCUGGUGGGGAGCUGCGAUCCUUUGGAGGAGAACAGGCACUCUGGUUUUUAGAAUUUUCAGCUUUUCUGCUCUGGUUUCUCUCCCUCUUUGUGGUUUUAUCUACCUUUGGUGUUUGAUGUUGGUGAUCUACAGAUGGGGUUUUGGUGUGGAUGUUCUUUUUGUUGAUGUUGAUGCUAUUCCUUUCUGUUUGUUAGUUUUCCUUCUAACAGGUCCCUCAGCUGCAGGUCCGAUGGAGUUUGCUGGAGGUCCACUUCAGACCCUGUUUGCCUGGGUAUCACCAGCGGAGGCUGCAGAAUAGCAAAUAUUGCUGCCUGAUACUUCCUCUGGAAGCUUCAUCUCAGAGGGGCACCUUGCUAUAUGAGGUGUCAGUCGUCCCCUACUGGGAGGUGUCUCCCAGUUAGGCUACACAGGGGUCAGGGACCCACUUGAGGAGGCAGUCUGUCUGUUCUCAGAGAUCAAACACUGUGCUGGGAGAACCUCUGCUCUCUUCAGAGCUGUCAGACAGGGACGUUUAAGUCUGCAGAGGUUUCUGCUGCCUUUGGUCAGCUAUGCUCUGCCCCCAGAGAUAGAGUCUACAGAGGCAGGCAGGCCUUGAUGAGCUGUGGUGGGCUCCACCCAGUUUGAGUUUCCAGGCUGCUUCGUUUACCUACUCUAGCCUCAGCAAUGGCUGACGCCUCUCCCCCAGCCAGGCUGCUGCCUUGCAGUUUGAUCUCAGGCUGCUGCGCUAGCAGUGAGGAAGGCUCAGUGGGCAUGGGACCCACUGAGUCAGGCGCAGGAUAUAAUCUCCUUGUGUUCUGUUUGCUAAGACCAUGGAAAAGUGCAGUAUUUGGGUGGCAGUGAGCUGAUUUUUCCUGGUACACUCUGUCACAGCUUCCCUUGGCUAGGAAAGGGAAAUCCGCCAACCCCUUGCACUUCCCGGGUAAGGCGAUGCCCUGCCCUGCUUCGGCUCACCUUCCGUGAGCUGCACCCACUGUCCAACCAGUCUCAGUGAGAUGAACCAGAUACUUCAGUUGGAAAUGCAGAAAUCACCCAUCUUCUGUGUCGAUCGUUGUGGGAGCUGCACACCCUCUUUCCUUUCUUUUAUAACAACAGCAGCAAUGGCAAUGACAACACUCCCCUCCCCCCACCAGAAAAAUGGCCCAGUUAUUAAACUGUGCUCUCAGAUUAAAAAUUAAAACCCAAAUCUGAGUACCCACAUGUAGGUGAGGGGGCCUUUGGCCACACAGAAGAGUUUUAACAACUGUGUUCCUUUUAUGAUAAGGUGUCCAAGGACUGCAUUCACCUAGGAUGAAUCACAGCAAUUUGCAGCUCUGUAUUGUUGGAGACACUUCAAUUCUGCUAUUAGCCAGCCAGAGCUCAAAUGGUUCUGCCUUCAUCUGGUCCAGGAUUAAGAAAAAAGUGUCUCUGGGACUGGAAGGGGGUGUAGGUGGCUUUGUGAACUGUAGGUGAGAACAGAGUGUGAUUGAAUGCCAGUGAAGCCUAAAGUCUUAAGUCCAGUUAGGGGUCCUCUAAGGAGUUUUGUCUUCAUUGAGCUACCUUCUUCAAACUUUUCAGGGUAUAUUCUGCAUGUAGAUUUUCUUCAAUGAGUAAAACCUUAUUCAUUUACUACUAGUUAUAAACCAUAGAUGAUUUCUUCCUAUUGUUUCAUCAAUGUUGCUUAUAAAUUGUCACAUCAACUGUUACAUUAGUUUAAUAGUGUAAAAAAAUUCUGUGAGCCUAGUCUGAUUAAGGUAUUGCUGAAUUUUUUAAAAUAUUGAAAUAUAGUACACAUAAUGUAUACAUCAUUAACACAUAGCUCCAUAUAAUACAUCACCAUCAUGCAUAGGACAUUAUCAUCAUCCCAAAAGCCAAGCUCAGGUUCCUUCCCCAAAACUACUCCCAAUUUAUUUACUAUACAGUCUUCUAAAACUAUGGUUUAGUUUCGCUUGCCUUUUUUUUUUUUUUUUUUUUUUUGAGAUGGAGUCUCCCUCUGUUGCCCAGGCUGGAAUGCAGUGGUGUGAUAUCAGCUCACUGCAAACUCUGCCUCCCGGGUUCAAGCAGUUCUCCUGCCUCAGCCUCCCAAGUAGCUGUGACUACAGGCGUGUGCCACCAUGCCUGGCUAAUUUUUGUAUUUUUAGUAGAGAAGAGAUUUUACCAUGUUGGCCAGGCUGGUCUUGAACUCCUGAUGUCAAGUGAUCUGCCCACCUGUUUCCCAAAGUGUUGGGAUUACAGGCGUGAGCCACUGUGCCUGGCCAGUUUUGCUUGUUUUUGACCUUACGUAAGUGGGAUCAUUUAUAUAUCAUCACACAGUAUAUAUUCUUUCUUGCUGAAUUUCUGUGCUCAAAAUAAUGUUUGUAAAUUUGUUCACAUUGUAUAGUUUUAUUCAUCGUAAUUGCUGGUGGUAUUUCAUUAAAUGAGGACACCACAAUUUAUACUAUGAAUGGACAUUUGAGCUGCUUCCAUUCAGGGGCCAUUACAAAUAAGGCUGUUAUCAAUACUCUUAUAAAUAUCUUUUUGUCCACAUGUGCUUGCACUUCUGUUGGUAUAGGCCUAGGAAUGGAAUUGCUGGGUCACAGGGUAGGUGUUUAUUUCAAUUUGUAUUUUCUUGAUUACUAAUGAGGUUGAGCACCUUUCAUAGAUAUAUUAGCUAUUUGGUAUCCUCUUUUUUAUACAGGAAGCAUCUUGAAUUGUCUGUAUUUUUAUGUUUGUAUAAGUUUUUCAUGUGUUUUGGACAUAAGUUGCUCACAUUUACAUGUGUUGCAAAUAUCUUCUACUCUUUGGCUUACUUUCCCUCUCUUUUAAUAAUGUCAUUUGAUGAACAAAAGCUCUUAAUUUAAUGUAAUGUAUCCAAUUUAUUCAUAUUUUCCUGUAUUGUUAGUGAUCUUUGUGUCAUUUAAUAAAUUUUUUUCUCUAGCCUCACAUCAUGAAGAUAUUUUCUUAUUUUAUCUAAUAGAAGCUCUAUUAUUUUACCCUUUACAUUUAGAGCUACCAUGCACUGAGAAUUGAUUUUUAUGUGUGGUAUGACAUAAUGAUCAAGUUUCUCUUUUUCUCCCCAGACAGUUACUCAAUAGACUGAGCACUAUUUACUGAAUGACCCUUUCUCUGCUGCUCUACAGUGCUAGCUUGCAAGAUCGAAUGUCCAAGUAUGGGUGGAUCUGUUUGAAAACUCUUUCCUGUAGUCUAUUUGUCUAUCCUUACAUCAAUAUCACACUGUCUUAAUUACUGUAGUUUAAUUACCUAUAAGUCUUGAUAUCUGAUGGAGUAAGUCCUUAGGCUUUAUGCUAUUUACAGUCCUUUGUAUUUCUGUAUAUAUUUUAGAAGCUGCUCAGAAUUUUUUAUUAAAAAACACUGCUGUGAUUUUAAUGGGGAUUGCAUAUAAUGGAGUUUGUUUCAUAAAGCUUUCUUCAUUCUACCAAGAUGGGAUAUUUCUCUGUGUAUGUAGGUCUUCAGUAAUUUAUCUCAAUAUAUGUUAUUUUCUGUGCAGAGAUCUUGUACAUAUUUGUUAGAUUUAUUCAAAAGUAUUUGGUAGUUUUGUUGCCACUAUGAAAUGAUAUCUGCUUUAAAUUUUUAUUUUCUAAUUUUUAAUGCUGGUAUUAAUUUCAUAUCUUGACCUUGCAUCUGGCAACCUUGCAAAGCUCACUUAUUUAUGAUACUUUAAUUGUAAUUAUUAUGGAUUUUCUUUGCAUAUGUAAAUAACAUUUGCAAACGAUCAUAGUUUUUCUAUUCCUUAUACCCUUGGUUUAAUUUCUGUUAUUGUUGUAAUUACUAGGAUUUCCAUUAGAAUACUGUGAAGAAGUGGUGAUUCUGGGCAUACUUGGCUUAUUCCUAGUCUCAGAGAGAAAGCAUUCAACAUUUCACCAUUUAUUAUGAUGCUGGCUUUUUAUAUGGCCCUGAUGAAAUUAAAGAAAUUAUCUUCCUUUCCUAGUUCUUAGUCUUUUUUCAUGAAUAGGUGUUGAAUUUAAUUAAAUAUUUUUUAACCUAUUGAGAUGUCAGCGAUUUUUAUCUUUCAUGGUGUUAAUUCAGUGAAUUACCCUGCCUGGCUUUUCCAAUGUUAAACUAGAAAUUGCAUUUCUAGAAAUUAUCCAACUUGGUUUUGAUCAAUUGCACUUUUUAUGUAUUGCUGUAUUGAGUUUGCUAAUAUUCCUUUUAGAAUAUUUGCAUCUAUGUUUGUAAGUAAUAUUGGACUGUAAUUUUGUUGGUAUCAAGUUGAUGGUGUCAAAAUUAUAGAACUUUAUAAAACAAAUAGGAAAAUUUCUCCUUUUUCCCUAUUCUCUGGAAUAGUCUGUGUAAUUGUCCUAUUUCUCGUAUGUUUGGUAAAAUUUACCAGUGAAGCCCAACUUUUCUUUGUGGGAACAAAAUUGAAUAUAAAAUUUAAAAAAUAUUCAUAGAGAUUAUUCAUAUACUCUAUUUCUUCUUGUAUCAAUUUUAGUAAGUUUUUUUAAGAAAUUUGUCCAUAACAUGUAAAAAUUCAAGUUUAUUGGCAUAAAAUUGUUCAUGUUAUCCUCUUAUUAACUUUGUAGCAUCUGUGUGGAAACUUUGUCGUCUGUGAUGAUAUCCCCCUUUUUAUUUAUUUAUUUAUUUAUUUAUUUAUUUAUUUAUUUAUUUAUUGAGACAGGGUCUCACUCUGUUGCCCAGGCUGGAGUGUAGUGGUGCAACCAGAGCUCACAGCAACCUCAACCUCUCAGGCUCAAGCAAUCCUCCCACCUCAGCCUCCUGAGUAGUUGGGACUACAAGUGUGCGCCACCAUGCCUGGAUAUUUAUUUUAUUUUAUUUUUUGUAGAAAUGAGAUCUCAUUAUGUUGUCUCAAACUCCUGAGUUCAAGUGAUCCUGCUGUUUUGGCCUCCCAAAGUGUUGGGAUUACUGGUGUGAACCACUGUGCCCCGACACUUUUUAUUUUUGAUAAUGGGUAAUUUGCUCUUGCUGUCUUGCUGACUUGCUCCUGCUCUUGCUUUUGAUCUCUUUUCUUUUUCUUGAUCAGUCUUGCCAGUUUAUCAAUCUUAUUGUACUUUUUAAUGAACAAACUUUUGGCCUACUGGUUCUCUUUAUUGUCAUCUGUAUUAUAUUUCAUUAAUUUUUUUCUGUUUUAAUUUUUUACCUCCUUCUCCUGUCUUUUUUAUUUAAUUUGCCUUUCCUCUUCUAAAAUCUUGGGUGGUAUACUUAAACCAUUGAUUUCAACUGUCUUUUAUUACAUGCAUUUCAGUCUUACAUGCAUUUCUUUUAUUACAUGCAUAUUCUAAGUAUAGUUUAGCUAUAUCCCAGAAGUUUUGAUAUUAUCAAUGUUUACAUUCAAUUAGUUUCAACUAUUUUAAAAUAUUAAUUGUGAGGGGUUUUUGAAAUUUGCAAAUAGUUUUAAAACUUCCAAGCAUAUGGGUAUUUUACAGUUACCUUUGUAAAAAUUAAUUUUAGCUUAUUUCCACUAUGGUCCAAAUUUAUUGGAGAUUUUCUUUCUGAUCUCGGUCCUGCAAUUCAGCACUGCCUUAGUACUUCUCAAAUGACUGUAUGAAGCUGGGAAUCAUACAGCUGAAGAAGGCCAUUACAUGUGCUGGGAACAUGCACCUUUGAAGGCUUAGCUAGUGGUUCUCAACCUAUCAGAUGCAACACUACCAUUUUAAAUACAUAUAUUUGCAAUAUUACUUUUUCUAUCCUGAAAAAAACUUACAGGUAAUCUAAAUUUUUAGAAAAACAAUACAGUAUCCUGUUACAUGGAGGAUAAAUAAAUAAAAAGUAAUUUGUAACAAAAUAAUGUUUUUCAACCUGGAAAUGUUCAGGCAUGACUACACUAGAGACAAUGAUAAAGUUGGCAGAUGUUUUCUUCUACAUACAUUGAGUUAAUAUGGAUGUAAGAGAAGUAAGACAAUACUCAAAGAAUAUUUAUUGUUGACGCUUUUUUCCUUAUAUUUAACAUUUUGAGAUA